AUACGCUGUGAAAUACGGUAAUUGUAGAAAAGGAAGCAUCACAAGCAGACUCCUCCAACCUGCCUAAGGCCAUCUAUAAAAAUGGUCAUGAUAUAUUUUAAGAUUACCCUAAAGCCCACACCCAUCAAAUACAUACACUAAGAAUCCCCAACACCCAUUCAACCCCACCCCUCAAACUUCUGAGUAAAAUAAUCCCACCUUUAUUCACCUACCUACCUAGUGUUUGGGACUCACCAGGGCUUUGUAGGCUACAAUCACAGGAAAUCCACCAGCAGCAAUCCCACAAUUCCCUGUUUCUUACUUCUAGCUCUUCUAUAGCUCACUUCCUGUCUCUACUUUCUGUAAUUAGAGUCAAGCAGAGACAGAGAGAGAACCACCUGCAGACUCACUUGUAGACUGGCUCCCUUGACAGCUAAAAGCUACUACAGUAUGAACAGCUUUGAUACAAGCUACAAGUGCUUCCUUGCAGUUGGCUGUUGGGACAAUGUUUUAAAUGGUGAUGCUUGCUUUCUGUGGAUUGAAGGAUUUUAAAAGGUUCAUUAAGACUCAACAGACCUGGACACUUCUUCAGGAAGGUAGAAUACAGCAGAAAGGUGUCUGGAAGAAUUUCCCAACCCUACAUCUGCAUGUGGAGCUGAAUACAAGAGUCAUCAUGAGAGAGAUUAAUAGAUGUUAAAACAGAGUUUUGAUCUUUUACUUAAAGGUGAAGAAAAAAGAAAUGAAAUUACAUGGUAAAAGGCAGAGAGCACAAUGAAGGAAAAUAAAGAGAGAAAUGACUGAGGGAAGAGUAAAGGAAAAGAAAAGACAGAUACUGAAGAUGACAUCAAGAAAAAAUAAAGCCUACAAUAUGGAAAAAGAAUGAAUAGAAAAGCCAAACAACAAGCAAUGUAAUAAAGACAGAUGGUACAAAAAUAUUCAACUAAUUAGCUGUUUAACAAAUGUCACUCAUCUGUAGCUAUAUAAAUACUACCUGGUAAAUAUUUAAAAAUACCAGGGACACUAUUUGAGCACUACUAGAUAGCUAUUUCUUUUCCUCACUGCUCAAAACUGCCAUAAAUUAGACUUGAGUGUUCUUUUAACUUACUAAAAACAGAAGGACCUUAUCUUGUAAUUAAAAACAGUAAAUCAUGCUCCUAUUCUUUAAAAGUGCAGGUGUUGCAACUUUUGAGGAGUGGCACACAAGUAUUUUUGCCCUGUCUGGCAGACUUAUUCCUCAGGCUAGUAUAUAAGUCUUGGGUAUAUUUUUCAAGCAUUCUGUGUAUAUGUCUACACAAGGUUUACUGCACAGUAGACUAGUUAGCUGCACGGUAAACAUUGCACAUCUACACAUGCACCCCUUUGUACUAUCCUGCACAAAAUAUUUUACUCUGAAACAGCACACGUGUAGAUGCUACCCCAGCUGGCUGGGGCAAAAGGGUAUUUCAGUGAGGGGCUUGCCUGUUGGCUAGUCCCACACUGAAGCAACCUUACACACACUGAGCUGAGGGAAGCAGCCCCAGGCUGGCAGGCUAACCCCUGGGGCCCUCUGCCAGCCAGGGCUGCUCCAACCCAGCAAAACAUGCUGCAGUCCCAGGCACACUUGUAGAUGUCCCGCCUGGGUGCAAUAAACCCCCAGAGCAAUAUGCUCCAGAGUUGAUUCAUUCACAUCAAUAUACAUGUGUAGACACACCAUGUAUGUCUCCAACAACACACCUUUAUGUAAUGAAAAAAGCACUAUGUUAAGGCAGGGUGAAGGACAGUAUAGCAGUAGGGGACACACUGAACCCUUAGGUAUUAAAUUCCAAACUUUUUAAUGUUUGGUUUGGGUUAAUAGUUUGUUUUAUUAAUAAUGCUUAAUUUUUGUAGAGAAGGGAACAUUGAGUUAUUAACUAAAUUCCAUCUAUUAACUUCUGGCCUUAGCUCUUGCCAGCAAAUUGUCAAACUUUCUAACAAUUCCAUGCCUACCAUUUCACUGAGAACCAUUUCUGCACAACCUGGCAACUAGCAAACAGAACUUCCACAAAGCCAUAUUCUUCUGUUUUUAGCCUCCAAGUCAUACUGUUCUAUAGUUGCAUAUUAAUAUUUCAGUUCAACCAAACUGAGGAAGUUCUGAUGUUUCUCUUCCUUUUUUAAUAUUCAAAGGAAACUUGGCUACUGCAACAGACUCAUGUUUAUUUCCCCCACCCUUAAAGACAAAGUAAGAUAUUUCACCUUACCUAUAAUCAAACAAGACUUGCCAUUAUCUGAAGCUAGUUACUUGAUCUGGGCCACUGAUGAAAACCAGGGAGGGCAGCAGUCAAAUAAGUACGAAUUUUGAAUUACACUUUGAAU
This is a long non-coding RNA of Alligator mississippiensis (American alligator), 2310 nucleotides long. RefSeq lists it as uncharacterized. The record is from RefSeq and is a predicted model, not a curated record. Lineage: Eukaryota; Metazoa; Chordata; Crocodylia; Alligatoridae. The transcript is spliced from 3 exons.